UCCUAGAACAGCCCCCAAAGGACCCCCGGGUAAACCGGAACACCACCCACUCCCUCCCGACCCCCACAAGCCUUUUUCUUCUAAGAUUCUUCUUUUGUGGGAUGAAUGAUGCACAUGAUUGUGGUGCGUGCAUUUCCAUCCUCGACCCUGCAUCUCUAGGCCUGGACACAUAUGGCUCAGCCGCCGCUGGUGUUCCAGCCUGAGAGGGCCACUCACCUCUGCCUUCCCACCUCCCCUGCCCUUGGCUUUAAUCCUCUGAGGCUUACAGCAGCCACCCAACUGCUCUUUUUGCUUCAACUUCCUCCUCUUCCUCUCCUUCAACUAGAACAAAGAUAGAUGGUGCGGAUCACCAAGAAAGCAAAGGGAUAAAGCUGAUUUGGGUGUCCUGGGGAGCGGAACAGGGGCACUGGGAUUGGAUGGGCCAGUUGUGGUGGGUGCGGGGGAGUGGCAGGCAGGGUGUUGUGACGAUGAGAGGAGGCGGGUGGCCCACGACCCACCCAAGCGGGGCUGCAACCCGACCCCCACACCGCCGGUGAACUCUUUCCCUGUCUGCCUUGUUGGAUUUGUGCUUUGUGUCCCCUUCCCCAGUGGAGGCAGCACCUUCGAGUGCAUCUCCUUCCACCUACCUCUGUUCCAUUUACGACGUCACGGUAAUAUUAUGAUGUCACGCACGUUUUAUUUCCAUGAAGUAAGAUUCGAGGUUUCACAUGAAUAAUUCAUGAUCUCAUGGAUCAGAGAAGAAGAUGAAUGACAAAGAUCCGAGAUGGGCCCUAAAAAGCUUCUGUACGGUGCGUGAGCGGAAGUAAUCACACUUGUAAGGAAUGAGUGAUGCCACACUUACGGAUAGAUUCCGACUCCAAUAAUCGACUAUUGGUUUGCGUGUAGAACAGCAACACCAGAUAGAUCGCAGGAAGCUAAUUCUAAGGUAUAAUGGCUGACACCUGUCGAUUUUUGGUGUGGUUAAGCCAUAUCUUCUUUUUGUUAUAAAUCAUAUCUUCAUGAUAAUAAUUAAGAUUAUUCUUCGGUGAUUUGGAUGCAUGACAUGAUGAUGAUGAUGAUGAUCGGAGUGGUUGUCUACUUA
This is a non-coding RNA of Musa acuminata subsp. malaccensis (wild Malaysian banana), 1081 nucleotides long. NCBI's taxonomy places the organism in Eukaryota, Viridiplantae, Streptophyta, Magnoliopsida, Zingiberales, Musaceae. The record is from RefSeq and is a predicted model, not a curated record.